This is a non-coding RNA of Ornithodoros turicata, 73 nucleotides long. Lineage: Eukaryota; Metazoa; Arthropoda; Arachnida; Ixodida; Argasidae. The record is from the annotation of a RefSeq genome assembly.
GUUUCCGUGGUGUAGUGGUUAUCACAUGUGCCUAACACGCACAAGGUCCUCGGUUCGAUCCCGAGCGGAAACA